CCCCAACCCAGACCCGACUCUCCUGAUUCAAAAACACCAGGGCGGCAGCAGCACCAAUGGCCUUGCUGCAAGGGCUGUCUUUUUAAAUUAUUGUUUAGUCCAGAUAUAUGUCCAGAGUGGGAUUUCUGGGGCAUAUGAAGUUCUAUUUUUAGUUUUUUGAGGAAUCUCCACACUCUUUUUUUCAUAGUGGCUGCACCAACUUAAAUCCCCAUGACGGUGAUUACUUCUUAGAGGUGCCCAUGGGCUCCUCGGGUGAUACUGGUGAGGACCCCAACACUAAGCAGUCUGACUGAAUGUCUACAACCUCGCCAGGCAACAAUUUCAACAGAAAACUGGAAGACCGCAGGUGCUCCACAGGGCUGUAGGGCUCUGUGUGCCUGUGCCUGUCUCUGCUUCUGGCUGCAGCAUCCUGAAGCCUCAGCCCCCCUGUGCUCUGAAGCUGAGGAGCCAUCCAGAGCCUUCAGCGGCUGUCUUGGGUACUCAUCUUUCUGGUUGGGGUGACACUCUACCCUUGGAAGCACCCGAGUCCAGGUUCACCACGAAAGCACAGCAAAGUGAGAACACGACAACACGGCACUGGGAGAACAUGCAGAGCUUCUGCAUUUGCUAUUCCCUCUGCCUGGAAAACCCUUCUACCAAGUCUUCUCAUUGCUGGCCCCAUCUUACUAUUCAGGCUUCGGCUCCAAUGUUGAUCCCCUUAGAGAAGCCUCCCCAGAACACCCCACAGCCAUCUGAAGCUGUGCAGUUUGUGUCCCCCCAAAUUAGCACCCCGCCCCCACUCUUUAUUGCAUUGUCUACUUUUGUCUUUAUAGCAGAUAUCAGUGCUACCUGAAAUUAUGUAUUUCACAUACGUGAAAUUACAUUAUUUAUCUGCUUGUUGCCUGUGUCUUUCAUGUAAACCUCGUGGGAGUAAGGACUGUCUUUGUCUUGGUCCUUGUUCUGCUCCUGGUGCCUGUCAUGUAGUAGGUGCUCAGGAAAUUUGUUGACAUUCUCUCUCCUUAUUUUGGGGAGCUAUACCUACUUACCUACUUAUGUGUGUGAUGUGUGCAGGUUGCUCAAUUGUGUCUGACUCUUUGUGACCCUAUGGACUAUACAGUCCAUGGAAUUCUUCAGGCCAGAAUACUGGAGAGGGGAGCCGUUCCCUUUUCUAGGGGAUCUUCCCAACCCAGGGAUUAAACCCAGGUCUCCUGCAUUGCAGGCGAAUUCUUUACCCACUGAGCCACCAAGGAAGUCCUACUUAACUUGUAUUUUUAUUUUACUAAUAAAUAGUUUCUUAGAUUUGUUAGUUUACA
This is a long non-coding RNA of Bos indicus x Bos taurus (hybrid cattle), 1292 nucleotides long. The record is from Ensembl. NCBI's taxonomy places the organism in Eukaryota, Metazoa, Chordata, Mammalia, Artiodactyla, Bovidae.